Carassius carassius (crucian carp) is the source of this 1298-nucleotide long non-coding RNA. RefSeq lists it as uncharacterized. Lineage: Eukaryota; Metazoa; Chordata; Actinopteri; Cypriniformes; Cyprinidae. The record is from RefSeq and is a predicted model, not a curated record. The transcript is spliced from 3 exons.
AGAUCCUUCAAAAAUAUCUUCUUUUGACAAAGAGUUGGCACGUGCAUUUGGAAGAAUGAGAUGAAUGUGUUGGAAUGUGGAAUCUGAUCAAACUGCUGUGAGUGUAGAAGAGACAGAAAGUUCAUACAUGAUAAGAACUUGCCCCAGAGCAAAGGCCAGCCACCCCCUCUUUCACUCGAGCAGAUGUUUCACAGAAGUGCAUUGCAUAAACACAAAAGGAGAUGUUCUGAUGAAUGCUGAGGUCCAUAAAAGAUUGGACGACACUGACUUUCUUUUAUAAGUUCAAACAGGUUUAGAACAACAUGAGGGUGAGUAAAUAAUGACAGAUUUUUCAUUUUUUAGGUGAACUAUCCCUACUCACACCAAGAAAAAACACAAACUUAAAUAUGAGUUUUGUGUUGCUGUAAAGCAAGUGGAAUUCGUAUUGUCAUAUUUUGCAUGUGCACAAAUGCAGUGUUUUGUUUGUUUGUUUCACUCUUGGUGUAAAUAGACUUUUUGUGCAUGAUUUAUUUAGCUUUUCCGCUUUUAGUGUAAACAGGCCUUUAUUCUUUCGACCCUGCACCAGUAUUUAAGCUUCAAUGCUUCAUUACCCACAGUAUGUGUUUCCUUUUUCCUUAUUCACUCAUAUCCAACACAGAAAGCAUGCAAGGUCAAUAUGGCCCUAAGGAAAUGAAAUUCCCAAAGGAAAGGCAUAUGGCUCCAGCUGGUGCUAAUCAAUAUCUUCAAUACGGCACACUGCCCUGAUCAAUUGUGCAUCAUGAAGGCUUGUAUCUUCGAAUAAAAGAUUUGUAUCGUUAACAUCUCCAACACCAAGAGCUGCAUCUUCCCACCCAGGAUCAAUAGGAGCUUUCUUAAGCCUUGAGCACACAGUGUUUUCAUUGACGUCUGCUGCUCUGAUGUAUAUUUAACUGCUGGGUGUAACUCCUGUCCUGGAGAAGCACCAGUCAACAGUCAGUUUUACUACAAGUAACUUUGACGAUGUUAGGGGAACAUGCUUAGAUUGCCAAACAUCUCACACGCUCCUUAAAGGUAACACCUAAGGACCACACAUGCUCUGUUAGAAAAAAAGUAUGUAGAAAGAAAUGCCUAGAAAGAUGAUGAAGACUCAAGUGAGUCCUUAUAAGCAUGUGGCUAUGAAUGUGCAUGGUGGGUGGCAUGUUGAGUCAGAGGGAGAACAGCAAGUGAAUAGAACUUCACAGUAACAAAUGCAACCCUGAGGAUCCAGUUUAACCAUUUAAAAGUUAGCCUGAAAGUUAUAAAUGUCAUCCUAAUAUUGAGGCGCUUUAGGGUUAGAAAUG